ACCAGCAGCCAUAUCACCUGCAGCUCACAAUUGGCAGCCCAAUGAAGCUCAGCAGGUGUGAGCCUGUUCAGCACCUGGAUGGGAGACCUCCUAGAAAAACUAAGGUUGCUGCUGGAA
Molecule: ribosomal RNA, 117 nt
Filed under: Lepisosteus oculatus (spotted gar)
Lineage: Eukaryota; Metazoa; Chordata; Actinopteri; Semionotiformes; Lepisosteidae
Source: RNAcentral